GUGUUCCCAUUGUGAGGAAAUAAUAGUAUGCUAAGUUUAUGUAAAUUUAAGUUUAUUAAUUGACGUCUUGUAGUAUGUAAAUGUGGGAAUUUAAGAGUAUAAAUAGCAGACGUGAGUCACUGGGAAGGGAGAGGGAUUUGAGGAGUCGCCGGCAGUCAAAGGAAGAAAAGAAACACGUACACUCACCAAUAGAGAAAUUAAGAAAAUCUGAAAGGCGGCGAGUGAACCAAUUUGAUAGGGAGCAUCGUAUCCCAACAGAGAGGAAAACAUUCGAACGGAGAAGCUAUUGCUAUUAUAUAGUUUGUUUGGAGCGGAAAGGAUAGCAAUUGUAUGUGGAGACCAGUCUAUCCUCAAAGUGACUGUUGGUAAAGAACCGCAUGGUGGAGCGAUUUGUUAAGCGAUUAAGUAGACGAAUUACCUUGGGCCGAAAGUUGGGGUUGUGAACAGAGGUAACUACCUUCAGGGCUAGCCGAAGACAGAAAGACGAAGCAGUGGUAUGAACUCAGUCUGACUUUAUAUUAGUAAAAAUAUCUAGCUUAGGUAAGGUUGGGUUUUUUAAGAAAGUUAAGAAUAAUAAAAAAUAUUUUGUAUUGUUUAUUCGGUCUGUGAUCAUUA
This is a non-coding RNA of Paramuricea clavata, 615 nucleotides long. The record is from the annotation of a GenBank genome assembly. NCBI's taxonomy places the organism in Eukaryota, Metazoa, Cnidaria, Anthozoa, Malacalcyonacea, Plexauridae.